UGAGGAAUAUUGGUCAAUGGACGCAAGUCUGAACCAGCCAAGUAGCGUGCUGGAUGACGGCCCUAUGGGUUGUAAACUGCUUUUAUAUGGGGAUAAAGUGGGGAACGUGUUCCCUUUUGCAGGUACCAUAUGAAUAAGGACCGUCUAAUUCCGUGCCAGCAGCCGCGGUAAUACGGAAGGUUCGGGCGUUAUCCGGAUUUAUUGGGUUUAAAGGGAGCGUAGGCCGUUUGGUAAGCGUGUUGUGAAAUGUAGGAGCUCAACUUCUAGAUUGCAGCGCGAACUGUCAGACUUGAGUGCGCACAACGUAGGCGGAAUUCAUGGUGUAGCGGUGAAAUGCUUAGAUAUCAUGAAGAACUCCGAUUGCGAAGGCAGCUUACGGGAGCGCAACUGACGCUGAAGCUCGAAGGUGCGGGUAUCGAACAGG
Molecule: ribosomal RNA, 424 nt
Filed under: Verrucomicrobiota bacterium
Lineage: Bacteria; Pseudomonadati; Verrucomicrobiota
Description: Verrucomicrobia bacterium partial 16S ribosomal RNA
Rfam family: Bacterial small subunit ribosomal RNA
Source: RNAcentral